RNAcentral lists this transfer RNA (773 nucleotides) under Lagotis glauca. Its description in RNAcentral is "partial tRNA-Leu". The stretch from base 1 to 410 matches the Rfam family "Group I catalytic intron", at positions 59 to 253 of the family's 253-position model. From Rfam's summary of the family: Group I catalytic introns are large self-splicing ribozymes. They catalyse their own excision from mRNA, tRNA and rRNA precursors in a wide range of organisms. RNAcentral also lists the same sequence under 2 other names. Lineage: Eukaryota; Viridiplantae; Streptophyta; Magnoliopsida; Lamiales; Plantaginaceae. The record is from RNAcentral.
UUCAGAGAAACCCCGGAAUUAAUAAAAAUGGGCAAUCCUGAGCCAAAUCCCGUCUUCUAAAAACAAAGGUUCAGAAAGCGAAAGGGAUAGGUGCAGAGACUCAAUGGAAGCUGUUCUAACAAAUGGAGUUGACUGCGUUGGUAGAGGAAUCUUUUCAUCGAAACUUCAGAAAGGAUGAAGGAUAAACGUAUCGAUUGAAUACUCUAUCAAAUAAUUAAUGAUGGCCCGAGUCUGUAUCUGUAUUUUUUUAGAUGAAAAGUAGAAGACUUGGUGUGAAUUGAUUCCACAUUCAAAAAAGAAUCGAAUAUUCGUUCAUCAAAUCACCCACUCCAUAGUCUGAUAGAUCUUUUAAAGAACUGAUUAAUCGGACGAGAAUAAAGAUAGAGUCCCGUUCUACAUGUCAAUACCGACAAAAAUGAAAUUUAUAGUAAGAGGAAAAUCCGUCGACUUUAAAAAUCGUGAGGGUUCAAGUCCCUCUAUCCCCAAAAAGGCCUAUUUUAUAUUUAUCCUACCCCUUUUUUCGUUAGCGGUUCAAAAUUCCCUUUUCUUUCUAAUUCUUUUACAAAUGUAUUGGGGCGUAAAUAACUUUCUCUUAUCACAUGUGAUAUAGAAUACACACCCAACAAAUUUAGCAAGGAAUCCCUAUUUGAAUGAUUCACAAUCAAUAGCAUUACUCAUACUGAAACUUACAAAACCGUCUUUUUGAAGAUCCAAGAAAUUACAUACAGGGCUUGGAGAAAACUUUGUAUUCUACCUUUAAUUGACAUAGACCC